Molecule: long non-coding RNA, 1896 nt
Filed under: Homo sapiens (human)
Lineage: Eukaryota; Metazoa; Chordata; Mammalia; Primates; Hominidae
Description: long non-coding RNA NONHSAT179422.1
Source: RNAcentral
UUUGUAUUCCUUAUAAAAUGGGAUUGUUAAACUCUCUCUCUCCUGGUCAUCAAAGCCUGAAGCAUAUUUUCUGGCUUCAGGUGAGACAGGCUGCUCAGGCAUUUUAUUAUAACGUGUGUGUGUCCACUUAGCAUUAGUAUGAGGUGGCUUCUUGCCUUGUGAGUAUGGAAGCUAUCAGCAGCCUGGAUUCUCAGAUUUUAUUUCUUCUUCUUAAGAUCAUCUUUCUCAAGAUGUUUUCUGUCUUCAUGAGUCAAAAUUUGAAGAGGAAAGGAUGGUGGCUGGGUGGUUGACAAAUUACUCUCAGGUAAGUAGGAAAUUGCUUUUUCUGUAGAAGCAUAUGCUUCUUCCUACCAUGUAGAUGUGUUUUCUCCUAGUGGAACAGGGCCCCUGCAAGCAAAGAGGGUCUGCUUAGGGACCACAUCUCUCAUCAAACUUCUUCGGACCACAGGGCCUCUCACAUGGUUGACAGGUUUCACAGGGAAAUGAUUGUACUAUCCCACUGUUUACUAAUUCAGUCUGACUGUCAUCCAUGCUGAUAUGCUUUCAUUUUGCUGUGAUAGGGAGAGAAUGCACAUGUGCUUCUCGGAAUUUGUGCUGUCACUGGAGCAUUUAUUUGAGUGUCUAUAAUGUAUUCAGGGUUGUGCUAAAACCUGUCAGUAGAGAACAAUAAGAAGAAGUCACAAUCUAGUUGUGCUGAGAUAUAUUCAGUUAGGUGAAAGAGGUGCUCUUCAAGCCAUAUGACUAGAUGAGAUCACCGGUGAAUAUGUACAGACAGGGGAGAAGAAAGUGAGGACCAUCAAGUGAUAGGAGACCAAAGAGUCUUGUCAAGGCAUGCCAAGACAAGGUCCCUCAUUCUCCAGUCAACAUAGUGGAGAACGUACUUGCCUGACGCCAGCAUGUGUGUGAUGGUUUAGGACUCAGUGACCUUUGAGGAUGUGGCUGUGGACUUCACCCAGGAGGAGUGGACUUUGCUGGAUCAAACUCAGAGAAACUUAUACAGAGAUGUGAUGCUGGAGAACUAUAAGAAUCUAGUUGCAGUAGAUUGGGAGAGUCAUAUUAAUACCAAAUGGUCAGCACCUCAGCAGAAUUUUUUGCAGGGGAAAACAUCCAGUGUGGUGGAAAUGGUAAGAUUCAGAAGGUAUAAUUUAUUGUCUUCCAUGUUAGAGGAAGAUUGGAAAUUCCUUAAAAUGGAAAAGCAGCACAAUAACCUUGAGACAUUUGAGACUAGUGUUUUUCACCCAAAAAUAAUCUGUCUCUUGGAGAGACUAUGGAUCAUGAGUUUGACAAACACUCUAAACAUCCCUCAGAAUAUAUUUGUUUACAUAUUUCCUUCAACAUUCCCAUAUGUAUCUCAGAUGUUUUUGAUAAAUAAUUCACUCUUGGGCCGUUAUCAGCUAAGCUCUAUUUAGAAGCCCUCUGAAAGUAAAGAAUAUAACAGAACUUCCUGCAGUCACUUUGUUCCACUUGAAAACACUCAGGUCUGAACCAUGCCUUGCAAUGAAAAUGGCAGGAACAAACAGUUUCAAUUAUACUAACUUAUUUUCCAUGUGUAACAGAAUUCAGAGUAAAAGGGAGAAUCUCAAUGAAAUAAAUUUGGAAAACUUCUAUGAACCAUCAUUAAUUUUCACCAACAGGAGAGAAACCAUUUUGGAGAGGAACUGUUUGACUUUAACCAAUGUGAAAAAGCCUUGAGUGAACACUCAUGCCUUAAGACUCACAGGAGAACUUACUUUAGAAAGAAAACCUGUGAGUGUAAUCAAUGUGAAAAAGCCUUCAGAAAACCCUCUAUCUUUACUUUACACAAGAAAACUGAUAUCGGAGAGGAACUUCCUAACUGUAAUCAAUGUGAAACAGCCUUCAGCCAACAUCUACAUCUUGUUUGCAAGAAAACUAGCC